RNAcentral lists this ribosomal RNA (284 nucleotides) under uncultured prokaryote. Its description in RNAcentral is "partial 16S ribosomal RNA". It matches the Rfam family "Bacterial small subunit ribosomal RNA", at positions 524 to 805 of the family's 1533-position model. The record is from RNAcentral.
UACGUAGGGGGCGAGCGUUACCCGGAAUCACUGGGCGUAAAGGGAGCGUAGGUGGCCUGACAUGUCGACUGUGAAAACCCGGAGCUCAACUCCGGACUUGCAGUUGAAACUGCCAGGCUUGAGGACGGUAGAGGAAGUCGGAACUGCCAGUGUAGGGGUAAAAUCCUUAGAUAUUGGCAGGAACGCCGGUGACGAAGGUGGUUUUCUGGGCCGGUUCUGACACUGAUGCUCGAAAGCCAGGGGAGCGAACGGGAUUAGAUACCCUGGUAGUCCCUGAGCGGGCU